RNAcentral lists this long non-coding RNA (372 nucleotides) under Micromonas commoda. RNAcentral describes it as "long non-coding RNA (MCOM_LNC000175)". Lineage: Eukaryota; Viridiplantae; Chlorophyta; Mamiellophyceae; Mamiellales; Mamiellaceae. The record is from RNAcentral.
AUGUCCGCGAUGAGGUACUGCACCACCACGGGGAGCUCCUUGGACAUCUGCAGCUGCACGGUGGGCGCCAGCGGGGUAGCCUUGGUGAACGAGUUGAGGUAGCGGAGCGCAAAGGUGAGCGUCACCGGCUCCUGGAGCUCGAUGAUGGUCUGCUCCUCCUUGUCGACGGAGGUGUUCUGCCUGCAGGUGAUGUUCGCCUGGCCGAUGUCGCCGGUGGUGCUGAACUUGACGCCGUCCUUGGACACGGAGAUGGUCACGGUAUCGCCGAUGGAGGAGAGAUCGCGGCAGAUGCGCAUGAACUCCGAGGAGGGCAUCUUCACGGUGGCGGCGUACUCGGUGUCGGGGAUGCCGAGGUGCUCGGAGUCGAUGUCC